Molecule: ribosomal RNA, 587 nt
Filed under: uncultured bacterium
Lineage: Bacteria
Description: bacterial SSU rRNA
Rfam family: Bacterial small subunit ribosomal RNA
Source: RNAcentral
UACGGCAGGCUUACACAUGCAAGUCGAGGGGUAACAGAGAAAAGCUUGCUUUUUUGCUGACGACCGGCGCACGGGUGCGUAACGCGUAUGCAAUCUACCUUUUGCUAAGGGAUAGCCCAGAGAAAUUUGGAUUAAUACCUUAUAGUAUGAUGACUUGGCAUCAAGAUAUCAUUAAAGAUUACGACAAAAGAUGAGCAUGCGUUCUAUUAGCUAGUUGGUGUGGUAACGGCAUACCAAGGCAACGAUAGAUAGGGGUCCUGAGAAGGAGAUCCCCCACACUGGUACUGAGACACGGACCAGACUCCUACGGGAGGCAGCAGUGAGGAAUAUUGGACAAUGGAGGCAACUCUGAUCCAGCCAUGCCGCGUGCAGGAAGACUGCCCUAUGGGUUGUAAACUGCUUUUAUACAGGAGGAAAUACCUCUACGUGUAGAGAUUUGACGGUACUGUAAGAAUAAGGAUCGGCUAACUCCGUGCCAGCAGCCGCGGUAAUACGGAGGAUCCAAGCGUNAUCCGGAAUCAUUGGGUUUAAAGGGUCCGUAGGUGGAUAAUUAAGUCAGAGGUGAAAUCCUGCAGCUUAACUGUAGA